RNAcentral lists this long non-coding RNA (251 nucleotides) under Homo sapiens (human). RNAcentral's name for it is "HSALNT0049489". Lineage: Eukaryota; Metazoa; Chordata; Mammalia; Primates; Hominidae. The record is from RNAcentral.
CAGCAGCUCCGGGGGCACGCCCACCCGGGCCUCUGAGGCUCCGUGAGAAAGGCAGCACUUCCAAGGCGGGUAAGAUGGGCCCUGAGAAAGGGACGCCUUACAACGGUGCAAGCCGUAGAGACGCAGGAGCCAGGGGUAGGAGGUUGUCCUGGGAGACAGCGCGGGACCCUGCAUCACCUUGUUUCGGUGGCAUGGUUUGCGGGUUGGCUAGCUGGAGGGCCAAAGGACAGGCGGCUAGGAAGAGAAUUCCC